Molecule: ribosomal RNA, 443 nt
Filed under: uncultured bacterium
Lineage: Bacteria
Description: partial 16S ribosomal RNA
Rfam family: Bacterial small subunit ribosomal RNA
Source: RNAcentral
CCUACGGGUGGCAGCAGUGGGGAAUAUUGGACAAUGGGCGCAAGCCUGACCCAGCGACGCCGCGUGAAGGAAGAAGGCUUUCGGAUUGUAAACUUCUGUUCUCAGGGACGAAAAAAUUGACGGUACCUGAGUAAUAAGCCACGGCUAACUACGUGCCAGCAGCCGCGGUAAUACGUAGGUGGCAAGCGUUAUCCGGAUUUGUUGGGUGUAAAGUGCGUGUUGGCUGGAGGUCAAGUCAGAUGUGAAAACUCAGGGGUCAAACCUCAGCCUGCAUUUGAAACUGGGUAACUUGAGUGCGAGAGAGGUAAGCGGAAUUCCGUGUGUAGCGGUGAAAUGCGUAGAUAUACGGAGGAACACCAGUGGCGAAGGCAGAUUGCUGGACAGUAACUGACGCUGAGGGGCGAAAGCGUGGGGAGCAAACAGGAUUAGAUACCCCAGUAGUC